ACACGACUACAUUAGAUACCCGUGUAGUCCUAGCCGUAAACGAUACUCGCUAGGUGUCGGCCACGGUGCGACCGUUGUCGGUGCCGUAGGGAAGCCGUGAAGCGAGCCACCUGGGAAGUACGGCCGCAAGGCUGAAACUUAAAGGAAUUGGCGGGGGAGCACAACAACGGGUGGAGCUUGCGGUUUAAUUGGAUUCGACGCCGGAAAUCUUACCGGGACCGACAGCAACAUGAAGGCCAAGCUGAAGACUUUGCCGGAUUAGCUG
Molecule: ribosomal RNA, 265 nt
Filed under: uncultured archaeon
Lineage: Archaea
Description: partial 16S ribosomal RNA
Rfam family: Archaeal small subunit ribosomal RNA
Source: RNAcentral